AGCAGCCGCGGUAAUUCCAGCUCCAAUAGCGUAUAUUAAAGUUGUUGCAGUUAAAAAGCUCGUAGUUGAAUUUCGGGGUCAGCGGGUUGGUCGUGCCUACGGCAUGUACUGGCUCUACUGAUUCCUCCUUCUUGAAGAACUGUAAUGUCAUUAAUUUGGUGUCGCAGGGAAACAGGACUGUUACUUUGAAAAAAUUAGAGUGUUUAAAGCAGCCAA
This 216-nucleotide ribosomal RNA is filed under the name uncultured Glomus. RNAcentral's name for it is "partial small subunit ribosomal RNA". It matches the Rfam family "Eukaryotic small subunit ribosomal RNA", at positions 569 to 787 of the family's 1831-position model. Lineage: Eukaryota; Fungi; Glomeromycota; Glomeromycetes; Glomerales; Glomeraceae. The record is from RNAcentral.